AAUCCAUAGGUUAAUGAGGCGAACCGGGGGAACUGAAACAUCUAAGUACCCCGAGGAAAAGAAAUCAACCGAGAUUCCCCCAGUAGCGGCGAGCGAACGGGGAGGAGCCCAGAGCCUGAAUCAGCAUGUGUGUUAGUGGAAGCGUCUGGAAAGGCGCGCGAUACAGGGUGACAGCCCCGUACACAAAAGCGCAUGUGCUGUGAGCUCGAUGAGUAGGGCGGGACACGUGGUAUCCUGUCUGAAUAUGGGGGGACCAUCCUCCAAGGCUAAAUACUCCUGACUGACCGAUAGUGAACCAGUACCGUGAGGGAAAGGCGAAAAGAACCCCGGCGAGGGGAGUGAAAAAGAACCUGAAACCGUGUACGUACAAGCAGUGGGAGCACCCUUUGGGUGUGACUGCGUACCUUUUGUAUAAUGGGUCAGCGACUUAUAUUCUGUAGCAAGGUUAACCGAAUAGGGGAGCCGGAGGGAAACCGAGUCUUAACCGGGCGUUAAGUUGCAGGGUAUAGACCCGAAACCCGGUGAUCUAGCCAUGGGCAGGUUGAAGGUUGGGUAACACUAACUGGAGGACCGAACCGACUAAUGUUGAAAAAUUAGCGGAUGACCUGUGGCUGGGGGUGAAAGGCCAAUCAAACCGGGAGAUAGCUGGUUCUCCCCGAAAGCUAUUUAGGUAGCGCCUCGUGAAUUCAUCUCCGGGGGUAGAGCACUGUUUCGGCUAGGGGGCCAUCCCGGCUUACCAACCCGAUGCAAACUGCGAAUACCGGAGAAUGUUAUCACGGGAGACACACGGCGGGUGCUAACGUCCGUCGUGAAGAGGGAAACAACCCAGACCGCCAGCUAAGGUCCCAAAGUCAUGGUUAAGUGGGAAACGAUGUGGGAAGGCCCAGACAGCCAGGAUGUUGGCUUAGAAGCAGCCAUCAUUUAAAGAAAGCGUAAUAGCUCACUGGUCGAGUCGGCCUGCGCGGAAGAUGUAACGGGGCUAAACCAUGCACCGAAGCUGCGGCAGCGACACUGUGUGUUGUUGGGUAGGGGAGCGUUCUGUAAGCCUGUGAAGGUGUGUCGUGAGGCAUGCUGGAGGUAUCAGAAGUGCGAAUGCUGACAUAAGUAACGAUAAAGCGGGUGAAAAGCCCGCUCGCCGGAAGACCAAGGGUUCCUGUCCAACGUUAAUCGGGGCAGGGUGAGUCGACCCCUAAGGCGAGGCCGAAAGGCGUAGUCGAUGGGAAACGGGUUAAUAUUCCCGUACUUGGUGUUACUGCGAAGGGGGGACGGAGAAGGCUAUGUUGGCCGGGCGACGGUUGUCCCGGUUUAAGCGUGUAGGCUGGUUUUCCAGGCAAAUCCGGAAAAUCAAGGCUGAGGCGUGAUGACGAGGCACUACGGUGCUGAAGCAACAAAUGCCCUGCUUCCAGGAAAAGCCUCUAAGCAUCAGGUAACAUCAAAUCGUACCCCAAACCGACACAGGUGGUCAGGUAGAGAAUACCAAGGCGCUUGAGAGAACUCGGGUGAAGGAACUAGGCAAAAUGGUGCCGUAACUUCGGGAGAAGGCACGCUGACACGUAGGUGAAGUGAUUUACUCAUGGAGCUGAAGUCAGUCGAAGAUACCAGCUGGCUGCAACUGUUUAUUAAAAACACAGCACUGUGCAAACACGAAAGUGGACGUAUACGGUGUGACGCCUGCCCGGUGCCGGAAGGUUAAUUGAUGGGGUCAGCGCAAGCGAAGCUCCUGAUCGAAGCCCCGGUAAACGGCGGCCGUAACUAUAACGGUCCUAAGGUAGCGAAAUUCCUUGUCGGGUAAGUUCCGACCUGCACGAAUGGCGUAAUGAUGGCCAGGCUGUCUCCACCCGAGACUCAGUGAAAUUGAACUCGCUGUGAAGAUGCAGUGUACCCGCGGCAAGACGGAAAGACCCCGUGAACCUUUACUAUAGCUUGACACUGAACAUUGAGCCUUGAUGUGUAGGAUAGGUGGGAGGCUUUGAAGUGUGGACGCCAGUCUGCAUGGAGCCGACCUUGAAAUACCACCCUUUAAUGUUUGAUGUUCUAACGUGGACCCGUUACCCGGGUUGCGGACAGUGUCUGGUGGGUAGUUUGACUGGGGCGGUCUCCUCCUAAAGAGUAACGGAGGAGCACGAAGGUUGGCUAAUCCUGGUCGGACAUCAGGAGGUUAGUGCAAUGGCAUAAGCCAGCUUGACUGCGAGCGUGACGGCGCGAGCAGGUGCGAAAGCAGGUCAUAGUGAUCCGGUGGUUCUGAAUGGAAGGGCCAUCGCUCAACGGAUAAAAGGUACUCCGGGGAUAACAGGCUGAUACCGCCCAAGAGUUCAUAUCGACGGCGGUGUUUGGCACCUCGAUGUCGGCUCAUCACAUCCUGGGGCUGAAGUAGGUCCCAAGGGUAUGGCUGUUCGCCAUUUAAAGUGGUACGCGAGCUGGGUUUAGAACGUCGUGAGACAGUUCGGUCCCUAUCUGCCGUGGGCGCUGGAGAACUGAGGGGGGCUGCUCCUAGUACGAGAGGACCGGAGUGGACGCAUCACUGGUGUUCGGGUUGUCAUGCCAAUGGCACUGCCCGGUAGCUAAAUGCGGAAGAGAUAAGUGCUGAAAGCAUCUAAGCACGAAACUUGCCCCGAGAUGAGUUCUCCCUGAGACUUAAAGUCUCCUGAAGGAACGUUGAAGACGACGACGUUGAUAGGCCGGGUGUGUAAGCGCAGCGAUGCGUUGAGCUAACCGGUACUAAUGAACCGUGAGGCUUAACCUUACAACGCCGAAG
RNAcentral lists this ribosomal RNA (2755 nucleotides) under Salmonella enterica subsp. enterica serovar Enteritidis. RNAcentral's name for it is "partial 23S ribosomal RNA". It matches the Rfam family "Bacterial large subunit ribosomal RNA". The record is from RNAcentral. Lineage: Bacteria; Pseudomonadati; Pseudomonadota; Gammaproteobacteria; Enterobacterales; Enterobacteriaceae.